AUACGUAGGGGGCGAGCGUUGUCCGGAAUGAUUGGGCGUAAAGGGCGCGUAGGCGGCCCGGUAAGUCUGAAGUGAAAGUCCUGUUUUUAAGGUGGGAAUUGCUUUGGAUACUGUCGGGCUUGAGUGCAGGAGAGGUAAGUGGAAUUCCCAGUGUAGCGGUGAAAUGCGUAGAGAUUGGGAGGAACACCAGUGGCGAAGGCGACUUACUGGACUGUAACUGACGCUGAGGCGCGAAAGUGUGGGGAGCAAACAGGAUUAGAUACCCUGGUAGUCCACACUGUAAACGAUGAAUGCUAGGUGUAGGGGGUAUCGACCCCUUCUGUGCCGCAGUAAACACAAUAAGCAUUCCGCCUGGGGAGUACGGCCGCAAGGUUGAAACUCAAAGGAAUUGACGGGG
Molecule: ribosomal RNA, 397 nt
Filed under: uncultured bacterium
Lineage: Bacteria
Description: partial 16S ribosomal RNA
Rfam family: Bacterial small subunit ribosomal RNA
Source: RNAcentral